AGAGUUUGAUCCUGACUCAGAACGAACGCUGGCGGCGUGCCUAACACAUGCAAGUCCAACGUGAAAGGGGAGCAAUCCCCCGGUAGGGUGGCAAACGGGUGAGUAAUACAUGGGUGAUCUACCUUAGGGAUGGGGAUAUCCUUCCGAAAGGAGGGGCAAUACCGAAUAUUGUCCGGAGCCGUGAAGGGUUCCGGGGAAAGGGAGGCCUCUGAUACAAGCUUUCGCCUUAAGAUGAGCCCAUGGCCCAUCAGCUAGUUGGUAGGGUAAAGGCCUACCAAGGCUACGACGGGUCGCUGGUCUGAGAGGACGACCAGCCACACUGGCACUGAGAUACGGGCCAGACUCCUACGGGAGGCAGCAGUGAGGAAUAUUGCGCAAUGGGGGAAACCCUGACGCAGCAACGCCGCGUGUGGGAAGAAGGCCUUCGGGUCGUAAACCACUUUUGCACGGGACGAAAAAGGGAUAUCGAACAAAUAUCCCCGAUGACGGUACCGUGAGAAUAAGCCACGGCUAACUCUGUGCCAGCAGCCGCGGUAAGACAGAGGUGGCAAGCGUUGUUCGGAACUACUGGGCGUAAAGAGUCUGUAGGUGGUUUGUCAAGUCUUUGGUGAAAGGCCGUAGCUUAACUAUGGGAAUGCCAAAGAGACUGGCAGGCUGGAGGCUGGGAGAGGGAAGCGGAAUUUCUGGUGUAGCGGUGAAAUGCGUAGAUAUCAGAAGGAAGGCCGGUGGCGAAGGCGGCUUCCUGGAACAGUCCUGACA
RNAcentral lists this ribosomal RNA (759 nucleotides) under uncultured bacterium. RNAcentral's name for it is "bacterial SSU rRNA". It matches the Rfam family "Bacterial small subunit ribosomal RNA", at positions 8 to 745 of the family's 1533-position model. The record is from RNAcentral.